This 460-nucleotide ribosomal RNA is filed under the name uncultured bacterium. Its description in RNAcentral is "partial 16S ribosomal RNA". It matches the Rfam family "Bacterial small subunit ribosomal RNA", at positions 338 to 795 of the family's 1533-position model. The record is from RNAcentral.
CCUACGGGAGGCAGCAGUGAGGAAUAUUGGUCAAUGGACGAGAGUCUGAACCAGCCAAGUAGCGUGAAGGAUGACUGCCCUAUGGGUUGUAAACUUCUUUUAUAAAGGAAUAAAACGAGGCACGUGUGCCUUUUUGCAUGUACUUUAUGAAUAAGGAUCGGCUAACUCCGUGCCAGCAGCCGCGGUAAUACGGAGGAUCCGAGCGUUAUCCGGAUUUAUUGGGGUUAAAGGGAGCGUAGAUGGGUUGUUAAGUCAGUUGUGAAAGUUUGCGGCUCAACCGUAAAAUUGCAAUUGAUACUGGCAGUCGUGAGUACAGUUGAGGUAGGCGGAAUUCGUGGUGUAGCGGUGAAAUGCUUAGAUAUCACGAAGAACCCCGAUUGCGAAGGCAGCUUACUAAACUGUGACUGACAUUGAUGCUCGAAAGUGUGGGUAUCAAACAGGAUUAGAUACCCCAGUAGUC